UCCAUCUUAGCUCAACUGGUAGAGCACAUGGCUUUCGCCCGUGUAGUUGUGGGUUCGACUCCCACAGAUGGCA
Non-coding RNA from Papaver somniferum (opium poppy), 73 nucleotides. Lineage: Eukaryota; Viridiplantae; Streptophyta; Magnoliopsida; Ranunculales; Papaveraceae. The record is from the annotation of a RefSeq genome assembly.